This 468-nucleotide ribosomal RNA is filed under the name uncultured bacterium. RNAcentral describes it as "partial 16S ribosomal RNA". It matches the Rfam family "Bacterial small subunit ribosomal RNA", at positions 28 to 507 of the family's 1533-position model. The record is from RNAcentral.
GAUGAACGCUGGCGGCGUGCUUAACACAUGCAAGUCGAACGGAAAGGCCCUGCUUUUGUGGGGCGCUCGAGUGGCGAACGGGUGAGUAACACGUGAGUAACCUGUCCUUGACUUUGGGUUCACUUCAGGAAACCGGGGCCCACAUCGGAUAGGAGCUCCUGAUGCAUGGUGGGGGAUGGAAAGCUGCGGUGGUAGGGGAUGGACUCGCGGAUUAUCAGCUUGUUGGUGGGGUAGUGGCUUACCAAGGCUUUGACGGGUACCCGGCAUGGGAGGGUGGCCAGCGACAUGGGUACUAAGGGACGGCGCAGUCGCGUACGGGAGGCAAUGGGCGGGAGUAUGACACAGUAAGGGGAAGUCUGGGACGACGGCGCCCGGUGCGUGAAGACGGCCUGCAGGUUAUGAACCGCUUUCGCCUAAUACGAGGCGUGAGUGACGGUAAUGGAUAAAGAAGCACCGGCUAACUACGUG